Molecule: unclassified non-coding RNA, 545 nt
Filed under: Hevea brasiliensis (rubber tree)
Lineage: Eukaryota; Viridiplantae; Streptophyta; Magnoliopsida; Malpighiales; Euphorbiaceae
Source: RNAcentral
CAUGAACCCAGGAAAGCUCAUUCCACCCCAUGUUUGCUUCUAAGGGCGUUUUUGGUGUACUUGGAGGGGAGGAUUCCUCAUUGGCAUGCGCUUUCUAUGCAAGUACUGUUGUAGGGGUACAAAGGUAUGUUCCCUUGCCAUUUAUACCAUUUAGAAUAGUUGGCCAGACUUGCAGAAUUUAUAUACAUGAGGUUGAAAUAGGCCAUAUACCGGUCAAUGUGUCGUCAAAUGGUACAAUUUUCUUUGUGUUGAGAGUUGAGACACCGAAACAAUAAAUUGGUUCUUGCUUGUGUAUGUUUUCUUUCACAUCGAAUAUGGAUGUGAUUUGUCCACCUAAAAAAUACUCAGACUGUAUAAUUUGGAAAUCCUACAUUUUUGCUGCUAAUAGAUGAAGAUGAAAUAAAUAAUAUGAAUUUCAUUGGAAAUUGUGUUGCUUAAUAUAUUCUUUUCAUUGGACAUCGGAUGUGUUUAUUUUUAUUUUUGACAUUUACUUAUUGGUACUUCCAUGAGAACUCUGCAAAUUGGACUAUGUAGGCUCUUGAUGG